UACGUAGGGUGCGAGCGUUAAUCGGAAUUACUGGGCGUAAAGCGUGCGCAGGCGGUUUUGUAAGUCCGAUGUGAAAUCCCCGGGCUUAACCUGGGAAUGGCAUUUGGGACUGCAAGGCUGGAGUGUGGCAGAGGAGACUGGAAUUCCUGGUGUAGCAGUGAAAUGCGUAGAUAUCAGGAGGAAUACCGAUGGCGAAGGCAGGUCUCUGGGCUGACACUGACGCUCAUGCACGAAAGCGUGGGGAGCAAACAGG
RNAcentral lists this ribosomal RNA (253 nucleotides) under uncultured bacterium. RNAcentral describes it as "partial 16S ribosomal RNA". It matches the Rfam family "Bacterial small subunit ribosomal RNA", at positions 524 to 776 of the family's 1533-position model. The record is from RNAcentral.